AGAGUUUGAUCAUGGCUCAGGACGAACGCUGGCGGCGUGCUUAACACAUGCAAGUCGAACGGUGAAGGGGAGCUUGCUCCCCGGAUCAGUGGCGAACGGGUGAGUAACACGUGGGCAACCUGCCCCAGACUCUGGGAUAACUCUUCGAAAGAGGGGCUAAUACCGGAUAUUUGGUCCUGAAGACAUCUUCGGGAUCAGAAAGAAUCUCGGUCUGGGAUGGGCCCGCGGCCUAUCAGCUAGUUGGUGAGGUAACGGCUCACCAAGGCGACGACGGGUAGCCGGCCUGAGAGGGCGACCGGCCACACUGGGACUGAGACACGGCCCAGACUCCUACGGGAGGCAGCAGUGGGGAAUAUUGGUCAAUGGGCGAAAGCCUGAACCAGCAACGCCGCGUGAGGGAUGAAGGUCUUCGGAUUGUAAACCUCUUUCAGCAGGGACGAAGCGCAAGUGACGGUACCUGCAGAAGAAGCACCGGCUAACUAUGUGCCAGCAGCCGCGGUAAU
RNAcentral lists this ribosomal RNA (503 nucleotides) under uncultured bacterium. RNAcentral's name for it is "bacterial SSU rRNA". It matches the Rfam family "Bacterial small subunit ribosomal RNA", at positions 8 to 524 of the family's 1533-position model. The record is from RNAcentral.